GACGAACGCUGGCGGCGUGCUUAACACAUGCAAGUCGAACGGAAAGGCCCUGCUUUUGUGGGGUGCUCGAGUGGCGAACGGGUGAGUAACACGUGAGUAACCUGCCCUUGACUUUGGGAUAACUUCAGGGAACUGGGGCUAAUACCGGAUAGGAGCUCCUGCUGCAUGGUUGGGGUUGGAAAGUUUCGGCGGUUGGGGAUGGACUCGCGGCUUAUCAGCUUGUUGGUGGGGUAGUGGCUUACCAAGGCUUUGACGGGUAGCCGGCCUGAGAGGGUGACCGGCAACAUUGGGACUGAGAGACGGCCCAGACUACUACGGGAGGCAGCAGGGAGGAAUAGUGCACAAUGGGAGGAAGCCUGAUGAAGCAACGCCGAGUGAGGGAUGACGGACUUCGGGUUGUAAACCGCUUUCGCCUGUGACGAAGAGUGAGUGACGGUAAUGGGUAAAGAAGCACCGGAUAACUACGUG
RNAcentral lists this ribosomal RNA (468 nucleotides) under uncultured bacterium. Its description in RNAcentral is "partial 16S ribosomal RNA". It matches the Rfam family "Bacterial small subunit ribosomal RNA", at positions 28 to 507 of the family's 1533-position model. The record is from RNAcentral.